RNAcentral lists this ribosomal RNA (289 nucleotides) under uncultured bacterium. Its description in RNAcentral is "partial 16S ribosomal RNA". It matches the Rfam family "Bacterial small subunit ribosomal RNA", at positions 796 to 1083 of the family's 1533-position model. The record is from RNAcentral.
CACGCCGUAACGAUGGACACUAGGCGUCGGGGGGAGCGACCCUCCCGGUGCCGUCGCUAACGCAGUAAGUGUCCCGCCUGGGGAGUACGGCCGCAAGGCUGAAACUCAAAGGAAUUGACGGGGGCCCGCACAAGCGGUGGAGCGUGUGGUUUAAUUCGAAGCAACGCGAAGAACCUUACCUGGGCUUGACAUGCUGGUGAAAGCCGGUGGAAACAUCGGCCCCUCUUCGGAGCGCCAGCACAGGUGCUGCAUGGCUGUCGUCAGCUCGUGUCGUGAGAUGUUGGGUUAA